AAACCCAGCCCCCUCUAUUUGCAUCUCUAUUCACAUGCCGGGAUUCUGUACAGCGAUGCCCGCGCUCCGCACACACAGCUGAGCCGAGAUGUGUGUCUCCCUCUUUGACAGUGACAUUCUUACCUGACAAAAGCCGUUUCUUUCUGCAAGCAUUUCCACCAAUCAGGACGCUGCAUACUACAACCAUGUUUCCCAAUCACAGACUUUAACCAUCACUCCUCAGUGAACUGCCUCAUAGUCUGAGAUCUUUUUCUAGUUACAGAGCCAGUUAUCAUUAUGGAGUUUCCAUGUUUUUUAGGAGUUUGCUCACACUAAUACAUGU
This is a long non-coding RNA of Sander lucioperca (pikeperch), 322 nucleotides long. RefSeq lists it as uncharacterized. Lineage: Eukaryota; Metazoa; Chordata; Actinopteri; Perciformes; Percidae. The transcript is spliced from 2 exons. The record is from RefSeq and is a predicted model, not a curated record.